UACGUAGGGUGCGAGCGUUAAUCGGAAUUACUGGGCGUAAAGUGUGCGCAGGCGGCCGCGCAAGUCGAGUGUGAAAGCCCCGGGCUUAACUUGGGAAUUGCGCUCGAAACUACGUGGCUGGAGUGUGGCAGAGGAAGGUGGAAUUCCACGUGUAGCGGUGAAAUGCGUAGAUAUCGUAAGGAAGACCAGUGGCGAAGGCGGGUCUCUGGACAGUUCCUGACGCUGAGGCACGAAGGCCAGGGGAGCAAACGGG
This 253-nucleotide ribosomal RNA is filed under the name uncultured bacterium. RNAcentral's name for it is "partial 16S ribosomal RNA". It matches the Rfam family "Bacterial small subunit ribosomal RNA", at positions 524 to 776 of the family's 1533-position model. The record is from RNAcentral.